UCAGAACUUAAAUAUUACCAUGAUGACUUCAGCAGGGAAAAAUGAGAUUAAUUUGAGUUCCAUGUCAUUAUUUUUCGGUCCUCUAUGACCACCCAGAUGUUUGAAAUUGAUCAUCACUGACAGUUUCAACAUUUGGUCUAGCAAUUCCUUAGAAAUCCAAGGUUCCUGGUGGGAAGAGUCACAUCUAAUCUCAAGAAGCUUUUCUUUUGUAGGAUGCUACAUCAUUCUCAGAUGGGUAUGUUUUCCUCAUUUGACUAGCUACUAAUUGUGUCCAUUCUUCUAACCAAUUGCUGAAC
Molecule: long non-coding RNA, 296 nt
Filed under: Callithrix jacchus (white-tufted-ear marmoset)
Lineage: Eukaryota; Metazoa; Chordata; Mammalia; Primates; Cebidae
Description: lncRNA (ENSCJAG00000054334.2)
Source: RNAcentral